GAUGAACGCUGGCGGCGUGCCUAAUACAUGCAAGUCGAGCGAACAGACGAGGAGCUUUCUCCUCUGACGUUAGCGGCGGACGGGUGAGUAACACGUGGAUAACCUACCUAUAAGACUGGGAUAACUUCGGGAAACCGGAUCUAAUACCGGAUAAUAUAUUGAACCGCAUGGUUCAAUAGUGAAAGACGGUUUUGCUGUCACUUAUAGAUGGAUCCGCGCCGCAUUAGCCAGUUGGUAAGGUAACGGCUUACCAAGGCAACGAUGCGUAGCCGACCUGAGAGGGUGAUCGGCCACACUGGAACUGAGAAACGGUCCAGACUCCUACGGGAGGCAGCAGUAGGGAAUCUUCCGCAAUGGGCGAAAGCCUGACGGAGCAACGCCGCGUGAGUGAUGAAGGACUUCGGAUCGUAAAACUCUGUUAUUAGGGAAGAACAAAAGUGUAAGUAACUAUGAACGUCUUGACGGUACCUAAUCAGAAAGCCACGGCUAACUACGUG
This 497-nucleotide ribosomal RNA is filed under the name uncultured bacterium. RNAcentral's name for it is "partial 16S ribosomal RNA". It matches the Rfam family "Bacterial small subunit ribosomal RNA", at positions 28 to 507 of the family's 1533-position model. The record is from RNAcentral.